Molecule: long non-coding RNA, 248 nt
Filed under: Populus tremula
Lineage: Eukaryota; Viridiplantae; Streptophyta; Magnoliopsida; Malpighiales; Salicaceae
Description: long non-coding RNA (PTRE_LNC003161)
Source: RNAcentral
GGUCUUUGUUUCUCUGGUUUCGGCCGGGGAAGGAGGCUGAAAUCCGGCUGGUUUGGGGUAAAAAAAAUAAACGGGGAAGAGGGGAAGAUGGUGGAAUCAGCCGGGAGUGGGGAGAGGGUCAGAUCCGGUGGUAAAAAAAAAUUCAAAAUCGGGGGGAGGCGGUUGUGUUUGGGUCAGCGGCUGCAGGAAAAAAAAUCUUUUAGGUUUAGGGUUUUUUUGUUCUUAUGUUGCCUCUCCCCUAAUCACAA